GCCAAAGAAAAAUAAAAAAGACCAUUUUAAGAUGGAGAGAGAAAAAUCGUGGAUGAAGAAAGAAAUAGAAUAGACGCUGGAGGGACUUCGCCGGAGAGAUAGAGAUCUACGAUGAGUUUCUUAAUAAGGCCUCCGUCGCCGACGAUUCUCAGUCCGUCGUACAAGUUACUGAGCUCUGGGGGGGAAGCAUCCUGCCUGCUACUAGGCAGGGCGGAGGGAUAUCGGAAAGUGACAAUGAGAGGCGGAAGUGAAAACCGGAAGCCACUGCAGAAGGGAAGGAACCUCAGCAUCGAAGCAAUUCAAGCGGUGCAGUCGUUGAAGCGAACGAAGAAAGAUUUACAACAACUGGACCGAGUGUAUGAUUCCAAAAUUAGGCGCUUAUUAAAGUUCGAUAUGAUGGCUGUCCUUCGCGAGCUCCUUCGCCAGAACGAGUGUUCUUUGGCUCUUAAGGUUUUCGAAGAUGUUAGAAAUGAACACUGGUACAAGCCUCAGGUCUCGCUGUAUGCUGAUAUUAUUAGAGUAUUGGCUAGCAAUGGAUUGUUCGAACGAGUACAAAUCAUUCAUUCGUACUUGAAAGCAGAAACUGACUUAGCACCUGAAAUUGACGGGUUUAACGCUCUUUUGAAGGCCUUGGUUAGUCAUAAUUUAGGUGAACUUGCAAUGGAGUCGUAUUACUUGAUGAAAGAAAUAGGUUGUGAGCCAGAUAAGGCUUCUUUCAGGAUUGUCAUAAAAGGAUUGGAAUCAAAGGGAGAAGCAGUUGAUUUAAGAACUGUGAAGCAGGACGCACAAAAGCUUUACGGUGAAUCACUUGAGUUUUUAGAGGAGGAAGAAGAGGCAGCUAUUGCCAUAUCUACGCACUGAGCUGCAGAAUCAGGAUUCAAAUCAUGGAAUAGAAGGCAUAUACAUUAUACAGAUGGACUUGUGGCAAGAAAGAUGGAGUUCAUCUUUGUUUCUACUUGAAGAAACCUGAAAAGGCUCAGAAACUUUCCCUGGAUAUGAAUUUUAACUGUAUACUGGCUCAAGUCAACCCGUCCUUAGCAGAGAAUAUGUGUGAUAACUUUCGAGUUAUGUUUCAACUUGGAUAUAUUGACACUAGUUGGAUGAAUUGUAUCAAUUUACUCUCGUCCUCGAUCUUUUGCUUCGGUUUCUCAAGCUGCUGGGAUCCAGAAACUUCCCUGCCCUGCUUGGCAGUGUCACUAGUCUAUGCAGGGAAGACCUGAUCAUCUUGCUACAUACUUCAGCUCCUCCGUCGAGUCGUGAGCAUGAGACAGAAAUAUAAGGGGAAAAGGUGGACUAUAAUGCAAGGUGAAUGGUACAUGAUUUCCUUUUUCUCCCAAGAGUAUCAAAAUCUACGUAGAGUAGAUAACGAACAAACCGGAUUCGGGGAUUGCUGCAUAAUUUCUGUAAAAACAUAUAUGUUUCCAGGUGCAACGCUAUAGGAAGUAAGUGCUCUUCCACUGCUAGAGGUAACUUCAAAAGAGAGAGGUUGCCCAUGAAGAUUGACAUUGCUUUGCCAGUUUUGUCCCCAGUUCCUUGCCAAUGCAAAUGCUGCUUCUGACAUCUCGAAGUGUUCCUUGGGAAAAUUACACCAACCACCAUAUUCCGAAGACAAGCCGUAAUUGGGAGGACAGAAGUCAGUGGCCGUUAGAAUGACAGUCGGGCUUCCUUGCAAACACCACAAGAUGUGGUCAACACAUCUAAGCUCAUAGCAAGCUCCACAGUAGCAGAUUUCCACUCUUCUUCAUCCUUAGCCGCAAAUAUGUUGGUGGGUGUUUGCAGAAGAACUAAAUAGUAGACUAUUAUAGCUAAAAAGGCCGCCAUUUCAGAAGAAUACAAGGCCUUGAAGAAGCCUAUGCUCAAAUGAGCAUUCCCCUAAUUUAUCGUUGAAAUGAAAGCAAGCUCCUUUGAUUGCCGGAACACUAUUCUGGAAAAAAAAAUAGAAUAAACUUUGACAAAUCUCCAAUUUUGUAGCCCUUCGUUCACAUUGGUGGCGCGUUUAACGAGGCAAAGGACUGUUCUUUAUCUUCCGAUAAUGGGGCCUGAGGGCUUCAGAGAAGCAAAUUUGGAGCCUUCAUUUUUUGCCAUUAUUGAUGUGGGAGGGCUUGAAGCUUUAUGUCAAUGGCGGCAGAGACAGAGCGGAAAGCCAUCCAUAGAAGCAGGUAUGUGUUUCUUUUAUUUGAACUUUUAAGAUCCCUUGAAAAUGAAAUAAAAGAAUAAAAAGAAGCUGAAGCACUUAAUAAAUGAUUUUAAGAAGAACCCAGAACUCAGAAGUGGCCUAUUUUGGAUUUGAUUGUUGGACCCGAACGAGUUUUAAAAGAGGAUUUCUUUUAGUCUUAUGGCUCAUCUUUUCAUGACAAAAAAGAUAGUGGAUGUUCCUUAAAAAUAAAUAUAAAGAAAAAGAAAAUUAGUGGAUGGGUCCCAGAGUUGGAAGGGGUUGCCGGGUAAUGAAGAAGCCGUUCUCUUGGCGGGAAACGGUGCUGGGGGGUUUUAUGAUUAUUAUUAUUAGUUUAAACAUCAUUUUGGUCGAGAAUUUUGCAUAGAAACCCUUUCUCGAUCCUCUAAAUGAUUAAUGACUCAUCCCUCACAAACAUAAAAAAUCUUAUUUUAUGCUUAUGCCAUAGUAUAUUAACGCAUUUUAUAACAUUCGCAUUAGGGAUAAUUAUGUCUAUUGUAACCCUAAUGCGGUAACCAUGUUUAUGACAAUCUUUAUUUUUCUUCAUUCCACCCUAAUAUUUAUAGAGAAACAUGAUAAAAUAUGGAAAAAAAAAAUGAAGAUCACAAUAGAUAUGCUCAUCAUUUUAAAGUUAUGAUACACAUGAUCAUCCCUAACGCUAUUUUCAAACACUGCUAGUGCAUUCUAACAUAAGUAUAAGUUAGAUUUUAUAUGCAUGUUGGUGUGGGCUAUUAAUCAUAAAGGCGCCUAUAAAGAGUCAUAUGUAAAAAAAAAAAAAAAAAAAAAAA
Benincasa hispida (wax gourd) is the source of this 2961-nucleotide non-coding RNA. Lineage: Eukaryota; Viridiplantae; Streptophyta; Magnoliopsida; Cucurbitales; Cucurbitaceae. The record is from RefSeq and is a predicted model, not a curated record.